RNAcentral lists this long non-coding RNA (320 nucleotides) under Linum usitatissimum (flax). Its description in RNAcentral is "long non-coding RNA (LUSI_LNC003390)". Lineage: Eukaryota; Viridiplantae; Streptophyta; Magnoliopsida; Malpighiales; Linaceae. The record is from RNAcentral.
UAUGUUCGUAUUAUCACGUAUGUACUAUCACGUUAGUAUUAUCAUGUCAUAAUCGGAAAGCCUAGAAAAGUCCAGAAUCGAAAACAUCGAAAAUGCCCAGAAAAUAUAAAGAGCACAAAGAGUUGAACCUAUUGUGUUUUAGAGGGUUGUGCGCACGCUCUGAGCCUCUUUCUUGUGAAGAUCCAACUAAUUAUGUAGUGCCUAAAUCAAAAUAAGAAAGAACACAAAAAAAUAUGAUGAAGAACACGAAAAACAAGACGAAGAACAUAAAAUCGAAAAUCCAACCUAUUAUUUUUUUAGGGUUGUUUGCAUUUUUUAUG